RNAcentral lists this ribosomal RNA (440 nucleotides) under uncultured bacterium. Its description in RNAcentral is "partial 16S ribosomal RNA". It matches the Rfam family "Bacterial small subunit ribosomal RNA", at positions 338 to 795 of the family's 1533-position model. The record is from RNAcentral.
CCUACGGGUGGCAGCAGUGGGGAAUAUUGCACAAUGGGGGAAACCCUGAUGCAGCGACGCCGCGUGAGUGAAGAAGUAUUUCGGUAUGUAAAGCUCUAUCAGCAGGGAAGAAAAUGACGGUACCUGACUAAGAAGCCCCGGCUAACUACGUGCCAGCAGCCGCGGUAAUACGUAGGGGACAAGCGUUAUCCGGAUUUACUGGGUGUAAAGGGAGCGUAGACGGCAGCGUAAGUCUGAAGUGAAAUCCAUUGGCUGAACCAUGGAACUGCUGUUGAAACUGUGCAGCUGGAGUGCAGGAGAGGUAAGCGGAAUUCGUGGUGUAGCGGUGAAAUGCGUAGAUAUUAGGAGGAACACCAGUGGCGAAGGCGGCUUACUGGACUGUAACUGACGUUGAGGCUCGAAAGCGUGGGGAGCAAACAGGAUUAGAUACCCGUGUAGUC